GAGCACGUAGGUGGGUUUGUAAGGUCUGUCUGUGAAAUCCCUCGGCUCAACCGAGGAAUUGCAGUGGAUACUGCUGAACUGGAGUGCAGGAGGGGAGAGUGGAAUUCCUGGUGGAGCGGUGAAAUGCGUAGAUAUCAGGAGGAACGCCGGUGGCGAAAGCGACUCUCUGGCCUGUAACUGACGCUGAGGAGCGAAAGCCAGGGGAGCAAACGGGAUUAGAUACCCCGGUAGUCCUGGCCCUAAACGAUGGGCACUAAGUAGAGGGGUUUU
Molecule: ribosomal RNA, 270 nt
Filed under: uncultured Planctomycetales bacterium
Lineage: Bacteria; Pseudomonadati; Planctomycetota; Planctomycetia; Planctomycetales
Description: partial 16S ribosomal RNA
Rfam family: Bacterial small subunit ribosomal RNA
Source: RNAcentral